UGGGGAAUAUUGCACAAUGGGCGCAAGCCUGAUGCAGCCAUGCCGCGUGUGUGAAGAAGGCCUUCGGGUUGUAAAGUACUUUCAGCGGGGAGGAAGGCGUUAAGGUUAAUAACCUUGGCGAUUGACGUUACCCGCAGAAGAAGCACCGGCUAACUCCGUGCCAGCAGCCGCGGUAAUACGGAGGGUGCAAGCGUUAAUCGGAAUUACUGGGCGUAAAGCGCACGCAGGCGGUCUGUCAAGUCGGAUGUGAAAUCCCCGGGCUCAACCUGAGAACUGCAUUCGAAUCUGGCAGGCUAGCGGCUUGUAGAGGGGGAUAGAAUUCCAGGUGUAGCGGUGAAAUGCGUAGAGAUCUGGGAGAAUACCGGUGGCGAAGGCGGCCCCCUGGACAAAGACUGACGCUCAGGUGCGAAAGCGUGGGGAGCAAACAGG
RNAcentral lists this ribosomal RNA (429 nucleotides) under Chloroflexota bacterium. Its description in RNAcentral is "Chloroflexi bacterium partial 16S ribosomal RNA". It matches the Rfam family "Bacterial small subunit ribosomal RNA", at positions 355 to 776 of the family's 1533-position model. Lineage: Bacteria; Bacillati; Chloroflexota. The record is from RNAcentral.